GUCUUCGUAGCUUAGUCGGCAGAACCACCGACUAUGGUACGGUAGAACUCGGGUUCGAGCUCAGCUGAAGGCA
Molecule: non-coding RNA, 73 nt
Organism: Henosepilachna vigintioctopunctata
Lineage: Eukaryota; Metazoa; Arthropoda; Insecta; Coleoptera; Coccinellidae
Source: the annotation of a GenBank genome assembly